GAUGAACGCUGGCGGCGUGCCUAAUACAUGCAAGUCGAGCGAACAGACGAGGAGCUUGCUCCUCUGACGUUAGCGGCGGACGGGUGAGUAACACGUGGAUAACCUACCUAUCAGACUGGGAUAACUUCGGGAAACCGGAGCUAAUACCGGAUAAUAUAUUGAACCGCAUGGUUCAAUAGUGAAAGACGGUUUUGCUGUCACUUAUAGAUUGAUCCGCGCCGCAUUAGCUAGUUGGUAAGGUAACGGCUUACCAAGGCAACGAUGCGUAGCCGACCUGAGAGGGUGAUAGGACACACUGGAACUGAGACACGGUCCAGACUCCUACGGGAGGCAGCAGUAGGGAAUCUUCCGCAAUGGGCGAAAGCCUGACGGAGCAACGCCGCGUGAGUGAUGAAGGUCUUCGGAUCGUAAAACUCUGUUAUUAGGGAAGAACAAAUGUGUAAGUAACUAUGCACGUCUUGACGGUACCUAAUCAGAAAGCCACGGCUAACUACGUG
This 497-nucleotide ribosomal RNA is filed under the name uncultured bacterium. Its description in RNAcentral is "partial 16S ribosomal RNA". It matches the Rfam family "Bacterial small subunit ribosomal RNA", at positions 28 to 507 of the family's 1533-position model. The record is from RNAcentral.